UACGGAGGGCGCAAGCGUUGUUCGGAAUCACUGGGCGUAAAGCGCGUGUAGGCGGCUUGGUAAGUCGGGUGUGAAAGCCCGGGGCUCAACCCCGGAACUGCAUUCGAAACUGCCUCGCUCGAGUCCCGGAGAGGGUGGUGGAAUUCCCGGUGUAGAGGUGAAAUUCGUAGAUAUCGGGAGGAACACCAGUGGCGAAGGCGGCCACCUGGACGGUGACUGACGCUGAGACGCGAAAGCGUGGGGAGCAAACAGG
Molecule: ribosomal RNA, 253 nt
Filed under: uncultured bacterium
Lineage: Bacteria
Description: partial 16S ribosomal RNA
Rfam family: Bacterial small subunit ribosomal RNA
Source: RNAcentral